AUUGAACGCUGGCGGCAGGCCUAACACAUGCAAGUCGAACGAGAGGCGGACGGGUGAGUAAUGUCUGGGAAACUGCCUGAUGGAGGGGGAUAACUACGGGAAACGGUAGCUAAUACCGCAUACCAUCGGAUGUGCCCAGAUGGGAUUAGCUAGUAGGGGGGGUAACGUCUCACCUAGACGACGAUCCCUAGCUGGUCUGAGAGGAUGACCAGCCACACUGGAACUGAGACACGGGCCAGACUCCUACGGGAGGCAGCAGUGGGGAAUAUUGCACAAUGGGCGAAAGCCUGAUGCAGCCAUGCCGCGUGUAUGAAGAAGGCCUUCGGGUUGUAAAGUACUUUCAGCGGGGAGGCGUUACCCGCAGAAGAAGCACCGGCUAACUCCGUGCCAGCAGCCGCGGUAAUUC
This 406-nucleotide ribosomal RNA is filed under the name uncultured bacterium. Its description in RNAcentral is "partial 16S ribosomal RNA". It matches the Rfam family "Bacterial small subunit ribosomal RNA", at positions 30 to 526 of the family's 1533-position model. The record is from RNAcentral.